CGCCGCCGCCGCCGCCGGCCCGCCGCGCAGCCCAGCCCAUGCAUCGCAUGCAGCCCAGCCCGGGCCCGCUUUCGGAGUGCGAGCGCCGGGAGACCCUGCACGCCCGGCCCUGCGGCCUUCUGGGGCGCCCGCUGCCUCUGGCUCCCGGUAGGGGCAGGUAGGACGUGGGGCCGAUGAUCCCAAAGCCCUCACGGUCGCCAGCGCGCCCCCCCUAGGCCCCAUAGUCCCCGUCUCUGCCCCCGGGUUCGGCUCUUCGUACCGCGAGCUCCUUGGGCAGCUGGUUGUGGACACCCGAACUCGGAACCCUCAUGAGGGGAUGGGAAGGGAAGGGUCUGGGGAGUCAUUCCGAACCCAGCCUCGGCAGGACUCUGGGAAGCUGGCGUUCUCCCCACCUCCACCCCCACCCCAGCCCUUCCCCGCUUCCCCAGCUCUUCCUGAGUCCUGAGUUUGGGCAUGACCGGAUGAAGGGGCCUGAGAUGGCAGACCUGGGGCAUGCCACUUGAAGGUCCCAUCUCCCAGCGGCAAGACAAACCUCGUGGCCUGUUAGAGGAGUCACGAUUUUAUUUGCUUAUGUUUGGACAGGUGGAUACAUAAGCAGAAGUAACCCAUCUUUUAAUUUCCCUCCCCCCCCCACACACACACACAUGCCAGGCACUUGGCCAGUGAUAUAAGAUUAUCUCUUCCUUAGGUAUAUUAUUUAAUCCACAUAAUCCUUUCUCAGACUGACGUUAUUAAUCCCAUUUUACUGAUAAGGAAACUGAGGUGUACAAAGUUUAAAUAAUUUGCCCUAAAUCCCACAACUAGCAGGCCUUGGAUCCUGGAAGAGACCUGGUGUUUUAGUGAGCCUGAAUCCAAGCUACUUGAAAUAUACCAGCUGAAGCCUCUCCCUCCCUGGGUUCCUGCCCUAAAAAAAGUCUGUGCUACUUGGCUGAGGUGGACACUGCUUGAGCUGAGAAAGAAAAGAGGGAAAAUGUGGCCAAGAGCUUCCCAGGCUGGGUUAUUCCAAGGUCGCCGAGCAGCCUCUGCCCAUCCCUUCCUGCUCCCUGUGAGAUAACCUGGCAGCAGAGUGCUAUCCUGUCACCUCCUUCACAAGUUCCCGGAUAAUGAUAAAAACAAAUGCCACGGAGUGCUUACCCGGAGCCAGGCACCAUUCUAAGCCAGUUCCAUGUAUUAACUCUUCUCACCACAAACCUCAUGAGAUAGGUACGGUACUGUUUUCCUUCAGGAGCUUGUAUUUAAUUUUAUUUUGAGGUAGGGUAUUGCUAAAUUGCCCAGGCCAGCCAGCUGGAAUUGCGAUUUGCCUCCCCAGUAGCUGCCCAAGUAGCUGGGAUUACAUGCAUGUAUCGGCUUCACAAUGUUUUUUUGUUUUAUUUUUGUGGUAAUGGGGAUUGAACCAAGGGCCAAGCAAAUGCUCUACCAUCGAGCUACAUUCCAGCUCUUCUUCUUAUUUUGAGACAAGGUCUUGUGUAAUUGCACAGGCUUGCCCUGUUCUUGCAAUUCUCCUGCCUCAGCCUCCCAAGCAGCUGGGACUAUAGUCACAUACCCCCAGGUCCUGUUUCCAUUAGGAGCCUUUUAUGCAUCAUGAACUACAUUUGACAGAGAAGGAAACAGUCCCAGAGAAGUUAAAUAAUAUUCCUAAAGUCACUCAUGUGAAAGAUCAACCAGUGAACUGGAGUUCAAGUCCCUGUGGCACUGUUUUGUAUUGUGCCACCUUAACUCCUCAGAGCCCCCAUAUCCCUCUGUAAAAUAAGAGAUAAUAUUCAAUUAAUGGGUUUAGGUGCUUUUGGGAUACCCUUACAAACACGACAGAAAAUUUAAGAAUGUAGGGGUCCUCAGAGCUAGGAGAUAAGUUGGUAAAUCCAUAAAUCUGUUUGACUCCCAGUUUGGGGACUUCCUGCCCACAAGGAGUCAAAACUUCUAGGGGCAACCUUGGGGUAGCCCCUACCAUCACCAGCCACAGUUGGGAGAACAAUACUCCUAUAGUGAGACUGAGGCAGGAAGUGAGUCACAGUUCUUCCUCAGGCUAUGAGCAAGAGAACCCCAUUGAGGGGAAAUAGGGACAGGGCUGGCCCCACCUCACAUGGGAGUCCCCCAGUGCCCUUCCUUUGUGUUCUGUGGCCUAGAAGAAAGGUCAGCCGAGAAAGAAAGCACUACAGGCUACCUCAGGUGCCCUAUCCAUCUGGGAGUUGGUCCCAGGCAAGCUGCUGUGGGUUUUUGGAGAAGGAAGGACCAAAAGGCUGCCACUCAGACAGGGGCUAUGCAGCUUCCCCAUUUCUUCUGCCAGCUUGUUCUUCCAAUCAUGCCUUUGGCAUAAAGAUAGAAUUCAUUAAACUAUGUUGCUCAAAGAUGCAUCAUUAGGGGGCGGGAAGAGGAGGUAUUGAGCAGGUAAGCACCUGCCCUGCUUCACCCAAAGCCUGUCCACUCUGGUCCUUCUCACAUUCUGGGGUUUCCCAGAAGAUUGUAUUUUGCAACAAUUCUGCCUAGAAAAGAUUUGGAAGCCACUCUCUGAGAUACCUCUGGAGAGAAUCAGCUGCCCCAGCUGAGAACUUAUGCCUUUAUCUCUUUGAAACAAAUCCUGUGGGCAGGUAUUGUUCUCUUUAUAUCUCCCAGCUGAUUGAUCUGAGGCCCCAGGGCCUAAGAAGCUAAGCUGUCUCUAAAGCUCAGGACUUGUGACUUGGGGCUUUAGGAGCCCAAGGUCCUCUUUGGUGAGGCAUUAUAAGUUUUAUACUACAGUUAGUAGUUAGAUAGGAAAAGCAGGGUCUGCCUAAUAGGGAAAUCCUGGGGUCCAGGGGAGGCUGGAAAAGGGUUCCCACUUUCCAGGCAGGGAUCUGGGAGUAAGGGUCCAGCAGCCAGACCUCUCUUUAUCCUUGAAUUUGCAGCUAAUGCAUGAAACUCCUUAGUAACUAUAGGGUAAUCACAGUUCUAAAUUCCCCAGUUCCAUUGUCCCCUUGCAGUGCUCUGGGAGUCCCUAUUUCUCAAACAAACUACUUCCCUGCCUCAUACACCUCAAAUAAAGCCUUCAGCAGCAGCACCCAUGCCUGAUUUUAAUCAAAAUGUACACAUCAUCCAUGUUUGUAUAGAAGGGUACACAACAAAAUUUAACUGGUGCAUCUUCUGAAAGGGUGAGACCUUUCUUUCUUCUUUUUUGCUUACCUGCAUUUUCAGGAGUGUGUACAAUAGCUCUUCUAACGUUAUGGUGAAAGCUUCAAGUUAGGCAGAAUUGAAUAAAGCAUGCCCACGCUUCACCAUCUAGCUCCAGAACACCUGGGAUCCAUCUUAUUGCUGCUGCUUCCCCUGUUGGCUGCUGGUGCCACAGUCAAGCUCUUCUGUCACAAGGCAUAGCCCUUCCAGUUCUGGCUAAACCACUUUGGGAAAACCUCCUUUAUAUGACAGGCAAACAGGGUGCCUGUGAUUGAGAGGGAGGAGCUGGAGACUAGAAGUGAGUUGGUGGUGAAAUAUCUGGUCAUGCUGGGACUGGAUCCCAACAUGGCCAGCCCUUCUCAUUUUCUCAUUUAUUGGGGUGGGUCUACAUUUACCUUUCACCAUCUGGCUCUACCACAUCCUAGACACUCAUUGAUUUAAUGGCUUCCUUUGGCCAACUCUAUGUCUUCUGCCUUGUUUUCAAUAUCCAGCCAGUGCUACCCACAAUCAAUCACCUAAUAACUGCUUUGGGCACAGUCUCUUCAGUCAGAUAGAAAUUCAUUCAACACCAGCUGAAUGUUGGAUCUUGGUAUCUCAGAACUAAUCCCUUAGGGCUUGUCCUCAGGAAUCCAGAGGCUGCCUCUGGUAGAAUUGAAAGGAGGUAUGAGACUCACCUGAAUCUUCCUGAAUCUGGGAACUCCAUGACCUUGAGUUUCAACAAACCUGCUGCCCUUCCUUAGCCCAUUUGAUCCAGAAAUGUAUGCAAUGAUUGUAGAUUCUUAUUGAGUUUUCCAAUUGGUUUGUCAGCUGGAAUAGGGUUUCUCAAUCUCAACUCUUGAUGUCUUGAGUUGUGGGGACUGUCCAUGCAUUGUAGGAUGUUCAGCCACCUCCCUGGUCUCCAAACACUAAAUGCCAGUAGCACCCCCAUUCCUAUUACAUCCCAAAAGCUUCCCAGACAUGCCAAAUCACUUCCAAUGACGAAAUCACUCCCAAUUAAAAACUGCUCGUUCAUAUUGGGGAAUAGGAAUGUCACAGGUUGGCAGUUAAUGUGUCAGGAUUGGAGGCAGUAGAGUUGUGGGCUGGGAAUUGUGCACCAAGACAGCUCCCAAGCCCCAAACUGCCUAAUAUGGCAGUAUGACAAACGGGGCCACUUAGUGUUCAGGACAAAAAAUCGUAUGCAUCUUCCUGACAUCUGAGGACAUCAUUUUCACAAUGUUGAUGAUAAUGCAGAAUCAAUGAUGUGUGCACCUACAGUCCCAACACUCGGAAAACUGAAGUAGGAGAGUCUCAAGAGUCACGGUCUGCUUGCACAACAGACAGAGAUCCCUGUCUUAAGGAAAACAAAAACAACAAACAAAAAAGACAGAAUGCAAAGCGCAGUGGUGGUGCCUGUAAUCACAGCUACUCGGGAGGCUGAGGGAGGAGGAUCGAAAGUUCCUGGUUAGCUGAGCAACUUAGAAUUUAUCUCAAAAUAAAAAGGACUGGGGAUGUAACUCAGUGACGGAGCACUUGCUUAGCACCUGAGAGACCAUGGGUUCAAUCCCCAGUACUGCAAAUAAAUAAAAGAACAAAAUAAAAAAGGGUACUCUGUUUGCAAAGGUGAGGAAGUGGGUGAGACAUGUUAGCAUUGACUAUAUUCAGAGAGUAGAUCCAUGGCUGCUUGGGAAAGGGGGAUAGGGAGGAGUGAGAGGAAAUUUGGGAUGAUGGAUAUGAUCAUUAUCUUGACUGUGGUGAUGGUUUCAUGGGUGUGUACUUACGUCAAAACAUAUCAAGUUGUAUACUUUAAAUGUGUACAGUUUAUAGUGUGUCAAUUAAAACUCAAUAAAACUUUUUUAAACGUGU
This 4983-nucleotide long non-coding RNA is filed under the name Marmota monax (woodchuck). The record is from RNAcentral. Lineage: Eukaryota; Metazoa; Chordata; Mammalia; Rodentia; Sciuridae.